RNAcentral lists this ribosomal RNA (253 nucleotides) under uncultured bacterium. RNAcentral describes it as "partial 16S ribosomal RNA". It matches the Rfam family "Bacterial small subunit ribosomal RNA", at positions 524 to 776 of the family's 1533-position model. The record is from RNAcentral.
UACAGAGGUCUCAAGCGUUGUUCGGAUUCAUUGGGCGUAAAGGGUUCGUAGGCGGUGUAGCAAGUCGGGAGUGAAAUCUCUGGGCUUAACCCAGAGGCUGCUUCCGAAACUGCUGUGCUUGAGUGUGGGAGAGGCGCGUGGAAUUGCAGGUGUAGCGGUGAAAUGCGUAGAUAUCUGCAGGAACACCCGUGGCGAAAGCGGCGCGCUGGACCACUACUGACGCUGAGGAACGAAAGCUAGGGGAGCAAACAGG